This 70-nucleotide transfer RNA is filed under the name Halichoeres tenuispinis (Chinese wrasse). RNAcentral describes it as "tRNA-His". It matches the Rfam family "tRNA". From Rfam's summary of the family: Transfer RNA (tRNA) molecules are approximately 80 nucleotides in length. Their secondary structure includes four short double-helical elements and three loops (D, anti-codon, and T loops). Further hydrogen bonds mediate the characteristic L-shaped molecular structure. tRNAs have two regions of fundamental functional importance: the anti-codon, which is responsible for specific mRNA codon recognition, and the 3' end, to which the tRNAs corresponding amino acid is attached (by aminoacyl-tRNA synthetases). tRNAs cope with the degeneracy of the genetic code in two manners: having more than one tRNA (with a specific anti-codon) for a particular amino acid; and 'wobble' base-pairing, i.e. permitting non-standard base-pairing at the 3rd anti-codon position. Lineage: Eukaryota; Metazoa; Chordata; Actinopteri; Labriformes; Labridae. The record is from RNAcentral.
GUGGGCAUAGUUUAAAACAAAACGUUGGAUUGUGAUUCCAAAGUUAGGGGUUCAAAUCCUCUUGCCUACC